RNAcentral lists this ribosomal RNA (433 nucleotides) under uncultured bacterium. RNAcentral describes it as "partial 16S ribosomal RNA". It matches the Rfam family "Bacterial small subunit ribosomal RNA", at positions 29 to 507 of the family's 1533-position model. The record is from RNAcentral.
AACGAACGCUGGCGGCAGGCCUAACACAUGCAAGUCGAGCGAGCAUUUCGGUGCUAGCGGCGGACGGGUGAGUAACGCGUGGGAACGUGCCCUUUUCUGCGGAAUAGUCCUGGGAAACUGGGGGUAAUACCGCAUACGCCCUUUUGGGGAAAGAUUUAUCGGAGAAGGAUCGGCCCGCGUUGGAUUAGGUAGUUGGUGGGGUAAUGGCCCCCCAAGCCGACGAUCCAUAGCUGGUUUGAGAGGAUGAUCAGCCACACUGGGACUGAGACACGGCCCAGACUCCUACGGGAGGCAGCAGUUGGGAAUCUUAGACAAUGGGGGCAACCCUGAUCUAGCCAUGCCGCGUGAGUGAUGAAGGCCUUAGGGUUGUAAAGCUCUUUCAGCUGGGAAGAUAAUGACGGUACCAUCAGAAGAAGCCCCGGCUAACUCCGUG